GAGGGCGUCGCCUAAAGGUAUGGCACCAAACUUUUAAUUUGGUAAAUAGGGGUUCGAUUCCCCUCGCCCUCA
RNAcentral lists this transfer RNA (72 nucleotides) under Bacilli bacterium. RNAcentral describes it as "tRNA-Lys". It matches the Rfam family "tRNA". From Rfam's summary of the family: Transfer RNA (tRNA) molecules are approximately 80 nucleotides in length. Their secondary structure includes four short double-helical elements and three loops (D, anti-codon, and T loops). Lineage: Bacteria; Bacillati; Bacillota; Bacilli. The record is from RNAcentral.